CUGAUAUUUGAGUGACCGUACCGCAAACCGACACUGGUAGGUGGGUAGAGUAUACCAAGGGGAGCGAGAGAACCUUCGUUAAGGAAUUAGGCAAAUUUCCCCCGUACGUUCGCAAUAAGGGGGGCCUUUGGCGGUGAGCUUAAUCGCAAAGCUGCUGGAGGCCGCAGAGAAAUGGCUCUUCCAACUGUCUAACAAAAACACAGGUCUCUGCUAAGUCGAAAGACGAAGUAUAGGGGCUGACGCCUGCCCAGUGCUGGAAGGUUAAGGGGAGAGGUUAGGCGCAAGCCGAAGCUUUGAGCCGAAGCCCCAGUGAACGGCGGCCGUAACUAUAACGGUCCUAAGGUAGCGAAAUUCCUUGUCGGGUAAGUUCCGACCCGCACGAAUGGCGUAAUGAGAGGAGCACUGUCUCAACGAGGGACUCGGCGAACAUUGAAGGACGUGUGAAGAUACACGUGACCCGCAGCGGGACAAAAAGACCCCGUGAAGCUUUACUACAACUUGCCAUUGAGUUAGGGCUAAACCUGUGUAGUAUAGGUGGGAGGCUUUGAAGCUGGGACGCCAGUCUCGGUGGAGCCACCGUUGAAAUACCACCCUGGUUUAUUCUUGGCUCUAACCUGUCGCCGUUAUCCGGCAUGGGAACAGUGGCUGGUGGGUAGUUUGACUGGGGCGGUCGCCUCCGAAAGCGUAACAGAGGCGCCCAAAGGUUCCCUCAGGCUGAAUGGAAACCAGCCGUUGAGUGUAAAGGCACAAGGGAGCUUGACUGCAAGACCAACAAGUCGCGCAGGGACGAAAGUCGGGCUUAGUGAUCCCACGGUUCAGAGUGGAAUGGCCGUGGCUUACCGGAUAAAAGCUACUCCGGGGAUAACAGGGUAGUCUGGUCCAAGAGUUCAUAUCGACGACCAGGUUCGCCACCUCGAUGUCGGCUCAUCACAUCCUGGGGCUGGAUAAGGUCCCAAGGGUUGGGCUGUUCGCCCAUUAAAGUGGUACGUGAGCUGGGUUCAGACCGUCGUGAGACAGGUCGGUCUCUAUCCGCUGUGGGCGUAAGGGGUUUGGGAGAAGCCCCCUAGUACGAGAGGACCGGGGUGGACGGACCUCUAGUGUGCCAGUUGUUCUGCCAAGAGCAUUGCUGGGUAGCUACGUCCGGCAGAGAUAACCGCUGAAAGCAUCUAAGUGGGAAACUCGUCUCAAGAUUAGAUCCCUCAUCCGUAUGGAGUAAGACCGCUAGAAGACGACUAGUUUGAUAGGCGGCAGGUGUAAGCGCAGUAAUGUGUUCAGCUUAGCCGUACUAAUGGUCGAGGGCUUACGUUU
RNAcentral lists this ribosomal RNA (1308 nucleotides) under metagenome. RNAcentral describes it as "bacterial LSU rRNA". It matches the Rfam family "Bacterial large subunit ribosomal RNA", at positions 1627 to 2925 of the family's 2925-position model. The record is from RNAcentral.